AAACUUUCAACAACGGAUCUCUUGGUUCUGGCAUCGAUGAAGAACGCAGCGAAAUGCGAUACGUAAUGUGAAUUGCAGAAUUCAGUGAAUCAUCGAAUCUUUGAACGCACAUUGCGCCCCUUAGUAUUCUAGGGGGCAUGCCUGUUCGAGCGUCAUU
This 157-nucleotide ribosomal RNA is filed under the name Trichoderma sp. EMF24. RNAcentral describes it as "5.8S ribosomal RNA". It matches the Rfam family "5.8S ribosomal RNA". Rfam says of the family: 5.8S ribosomal RNA (5.8S rRNA) is a component of the large subunit of the eukaryotic ribosome. The record is from RNAcentral. Lineage: Eukaryota; Fungi; Ascomycota; Sordariomycetes; Hypocreales; Hypocreaceae.